RNA transcript from Nomascus leucogenys (northern white-cheeked gibbon), 1002 nucleotides. It is a transcript of the gene named protein SON pseudogene, with no coding region annotated. NCBI's taxonomy places the organism in Eukaryota, Metazoa, Chordata, Mammalia, Primates, Hylobatidae. The record is from RefSeq and is a predicted model, not a curated record. The transcript has 3 exons.
AUGAAUGUCAGUAAGCAAAAGGCACAAGAACCUUGUGAGGGCCUUCAAGAUUGUUGCGAAGCCCUUAGACGAAAGAAAGUCAUAGACAUUGCACGAACCCCAAGUCGUCAGAGUCGGAGUCAUACUCCAAGUGGUCAACGAAGGUCUAGAUCUGUGGGUAGAAGAAGGAGCUUUAGCAUUUCCGCAAGCCGCGGGAGCCACACCCCCAGCCGCCGGAACCGUACCCCCAGCCGACGGAGCCGCACCCCCAGCCGCUGGAGAAGAUCAAGGUCUGUGGUAGGAAGACGAAGCUUCAGUAUCUCACCAGUCACAUUAAGGCAAUCAAGAACACCCUUGAGAAGAAGGUUUAGCAGAUCUCCCAUCCGUCGUAAAAGAUCCAGGUCUUCUGAACCAGGCAGACCAUCCAAACGUCUGACAGAUUUGGAUAAGGCUCAAUUACUAGAAAUAGCCAAAGCUAAUGCAGCUGCCAUGUGUGCUAAAGCUGGUGUCCCUUUACUGCCAAACCUAAAGCCCGCACCUCCACAUACCAUAGAAGAGAAAGUUGCUAAAAAGUCAGGAGGAGCUACUAUAGAAGAACUAACUGAGAAAUGUAAACAGAUCGCACAGAGUAAAGAAGAUGAUGAUGUAAUAGUGAAUAAAUCUCAUGUUUCGGAUGAAGAGGAAGAAGAACCUCCUUUUUAUCAUCAUCCCUUUAAACUCAGUGAACCCAAACCCAUUUUUUUCAAUCUGAAUAUUGCUGCAGCAAAACCAACUCCACCAAAAAGCCAGGUAACAUUAACAAAAGAAUUCCCUGUAUCAUUUGGAUCUCAAUAUUGGAAAAAAGAAGCGGAUAGUGCUUAUGGAGAAUGGGUUCCUGUAGAGAAAAAUGGUGAAGAAAACAAAGAUGAUGAUAAUGUUUUCAGCAGCAAUUUGCCCUCAGAGCCUGUGGACAUCUCUACAGCAAUGAGUGAACAGGCACUUGCUCAGAAAAGACUCAGUGAGAAUGCAAUAACAAUAAACUAG